AGGGCGCACGGUGGAUGCCUUGGCACUAGAAGCCGAUGAAGGACGUUACUAACGACGAUAUGCUUUGGGGAGCUGUAAGUAAGCUUUGAUCCAGAGAUUUCCGAAUGGGGAAACCCAGCAUGAGUUAUGUCAUGUUAUCGAUAUGUGAAUACAUAGCAUAUCAGAAGGCACACCCGGAGAACUGAAACAUCUUAGUACCCGGAGGAAGAGAAAGAAAAUUCGAUUCCCUUAGUAGCGGCGAGCGAAACGGGAAGAGCCCAAACCAACAAGCUUGCUUGUUGGGGUUGUAGGACACUCUAUACGGAGUUACAAAGGACGACAUUAGACGAAUCAUCUGGAAAGAUGAAUCAAAGAAGGUAAUAAUCCUGUAGUCGAAAAUGUUGUCUCUCUUGAGUGGAUCCUGAGUACGACGGAGCACGUGAAAUUCCGUCGGAAUCUGGGAGGACCAUCUCCUAAGGCUAAAUACUCUCUAGUGACCGAUAGUGAACCAGUACCGUGAGGGAAAGGUGAAAAGCACCCCGGAAGGGGAGUGAAAUAGAACCUGAAACCGUGUGCUUACAAGUAGUCAGAGCCCGUUAAUGGGUGAUGGCGUGCCUUUUGUAGAAUGAACCGGCGAGUUACGAUUUGAUGCAAGGUUAAGCAGUAAAUGUGGAGCCGUAGCGAAAGCGAGUCUGAAUAGGGCGUUUAGUAUUUGGUCGUAGACCCGAAACCAGGUGAUCUACCCUUGGUCAGGUUGAAGUUCAGGUAACACUGAAUGGAGGACCGAACCGACUUACGUUGAAAAGUGAGCGGAUGAACUGAGGGUAGCGGAGAAAUUCCAAUCGAACCUGGAGAUAGCUGGUUCUCUCCGAAAUAGCUUUAGGGCUAGCCUCAAGUGAUGAUUAUUGGAGGUAGAGCACUGUUUGGACGAGGGGCCCCUCUCGGGUUACCGAAUUCAGACAAACUCCGAAUGCCAAUUAAUUUAACUUGGGAGUCAGAACAUGGGUGAUAAGGUCCGUGUUCGAAAGGGAAACAGCCCAGACCACCAGCUAAGGUCCCAAAAUAUAUGUUAAGUGGAAAAGGAUGUGGCGUUGCCCAGACAACUAGGAUGUUGGCUUAGAAGCAGCCAUCAUUUAAAGAGUGCGUAAUAGCUCACUAGUCGAGUGACACUGCGCCGAAAAUGUACCGGGGCUAAACAUAUUACCGAAGCUGUGGAUUGUCCUUUGGACAAUGGUAGGAGAGCGUUCUAAGGGCGUUGAAGCAUGAUCGUAAGGACAUGUGGAGCGCUUAGAAGUGAGAAUGCCGGUGUGAGUAGCGAAAGACGGGUGAGAAUCCCGUCCACCGAUUGACUAAGGUUUCCAGAGGAAGGCUCGUCCGCUCUGGGUUAGUCGGGUCCUAAGCUGAGGCCGACAGGCGUAGGCGAUGGAUAACAGGUUGAUAUUCCUGUACCACCUAUAAUCGUUUUAAUCGAUGGGGGGACGCAGUAGGAUAGGCGAAGCGUGCGAUUGGAUUGCACGUCUAAGCAGUAAGGCUGAGUAUUAGGCAAAUCCGGUACUCGUUAAGGCUGAGCUGUGAUGGGGAGAAGACAUUGAGUCUUCGAGUCGUUGAUUUCACACUGCCGAGAAAAGCCUCUAGAUAGAAAAUAGGUGCCCGUACCGCAAACCGACACAGGUAGUCAAGAUGAGAAUUCUAAGGUGAGCGAGCGAACUCUCGUUAAGGAACUCGGCAAAAUGACCCCGUAACUUCGGGAGAAGGGGUGCUCUUUAGGGUUAACGCCCAGAAGAGCCGCAGUGAAUAGGCCCAAGCGACUGUUUAUCAAAAACACAGGUCUCUGCUAAACCGUAAGGUGAUGUAUAGGGGCUGACGCCUGCCCGGUGCUGGAAGGUUAAGAGGAGUGGUUAGCUUCUGCGAAGCUACGAAUCGAAGCCCCAGUAAACGGCGGCCGUAACUAUAACGGUCCUAAGGUAGCGAAAUUCCUUGUCGGGUAAGUUCCGACCCGCACGAAAGGCGUAACGAUUUGGGCACUGUCUCAACGAGAGACUCGGUGAAAUCAUAGUACCUGUGAAGAUGCAGGUUACCCGCGACAGGACGGAAAGACCCCGUGGAGCUUUACUGUAGCCUGAUAUUGAAAUUCGGCACAGCUUGUACAGGAUAGGUAGGAGCCUUUGAAACGUGAGCGCUAGCUUACGUGGAGGCGCUGGUGGGAUACUACCCUAGCUGUGUUGGCUUUCUAACCCGCACCACUUAUCGUGGUGGGAGACAGUGUCAAGCGGGCAGUUUGACUGGGGCGGUCGCCUCCUAAAAGGUAACGGAGGCGCUCAAAGGUUCCCUCAGAAUGGUUGGAAAUCAUUCAUAGAGUGCAAAGGCAUAAGGGAGCUUGACUGCGAGACCUACAAGUCGAGCAGGGUCGAAAGACGGACUUAGUGAUCCGGUGGUUCCGCAUGGAAGGGCCA
This 2432-nucleotide ribosomal RNA is filed under the name Staphylococcus aureus. Its description in RNAcentral is "bacterial LSU rRNA". It matches the Rfam family "Bacterial large subunit ribosomal RNA", at positions 14 to 2444 of the family's 2925-position model. Lineage: Bacteria; Bacillati; Bacillota; Bacilli; Caryophanales; Staphylococcaceae. The record is from RNAcentral.